AGGCAGAGGCCGGGGUUGCAGGACGACUUCCAGAGCCCUCCGUCCGCGUCUACCCCGAAGGGUCCGCGGCACCGACGGGCACACAGGCACCUCCCCACGGCCCGGAGCGCCAGGUCACCGCCCAGGUGGCCUCUGUAAGGCCGGACGAGGUGCCUGGUGCCUGGGAGAGGCCGGCCCCAUCCGGAUGCGAUGUCUCCUGACCGGGGGCUCCCGGGUAACCCCCGGGGUGGCUGGCUGUGCCCUGCGGGGCAUGGGUGCGAGCGGGGCCCCUCCUCUGACCCCAGCCGUGUGCAGCCAGGCUGGGGUGCUGGUGGGAGGAGGGUCCAGAGGCCAAGACCACCCUGUGCCCGUAGUCACCCCCAGGCCGGUGGCCGGCCCCUGGCUAUUCCUCACCUGGAAAAGUCGGGGACGACCCAGAUGCCGUCUGGAAAGAGGAUGUUAAAUGGGAGGUGAAUUUGGAAAGCUCGAUGUUCUAAUUCUGUGAACGAGAGGCCACGGCUCUCAAGCUCUUGAUGAGGCAUAACGAGCGUGUGUGGAUGUGACACCAGCCGCGACGCCGCGAGGAGCCUCCAGGGCCCCCGACUCUGCGGGGCUCAUCCGCGUCUGGGGUGCUGGCGGCUGCUCCCCGCCUCGGGCGCUCAGCCUGGGCCCCGUUGCCUGCGGCCUUCCUGCCGGGGGCGGCCCAGUGGUGCCUCCGCUGUCCCUGAACCGGCUCCCGGAGAGGAUCGCAGGCGCCCCCGGACUCUGGGUCGGAGCCCCGGGCCCCGGCGAGCUCCUCCCUCCCCCACAAGCGCUCGGGUCAGCGGCCUCUCCAGAAGGGCCUCCCGCCGGGUCCCGAGCCUCCGCACCUGGACGUCCCGCCUCGGGAGGCGUCCUGGCGGGGGGCAGAUGCCGCCCAGGCAGGAACCGGCCCGGGCCUGGACACGGGGAGGGGGAGGCCUGCUUCCAGGACAAUGGCUCCUCGGGCGGUGGCCGGGCCGUCCUCCACUCGUCCUCCUCACUUGGGGUCCUGCCCCUCCUCCCACGGGGCCUUGUCAGAGCCCGAGCCCCCAGGCCAAACCCGCACAAGCCUGCUUGGGGGUGACUUGAAUUCCCUCAGAGACCACGUUCCUGCCGGCUGCCUCUCCCAGCUCCACGCCCGCUGCCCCCUUCCCGGCUCCCCCGCACGACGCCCACGCUCCCCCCUCGGGCCUCCAUGGCGCCUGCAUCCUCUCCCCUCUCCUGCGGUGACCCGACUGCCCCGGACACUCAGAGGCAAAGGCCACACUGGUCACGAGACAGAGAGAGGGACAGAGGGACAGGGAGACGGGGCGACAGAGGCCUGGGGUGGGUAGCGGGCGGGAAGGCUGCCCUGGACCUGCUGACCCGGGGGAAGAGCCUGGAGCCCGAGACGCCCGGGAGCAGCUGGAAGGCCGGUCGGAGAAGCCGCCCUCGUGCUGACCGCCCGCCCCUGGGCGGCUGCCCGGGGUCACAGCGGCCUCGUGGACCCUGGGGGCCUGGGCUCAGUCUCCUCUGACCCCCAUCACCCCCAUCCUGCACCCCCACAGUUAAACAGGGCAGAGCAGUGGGGUGCGGUCGUGGGUCGCGUCCCUGUGCUGAGUCCCCGCCGUGUUGCCCUGUGACCCAGGUCGCUGACCUGGGAACGACCCGGAGACAUGAGCGCUUCACCUGCAGGUCGGGCAGGCGCUGGUCACCCCGACCUGGGGCGGAGUCAGGCCCGCGGUGCUGCUGUGGGCACAUGUGUCAUGGGGUCAUGUGUGAUGAUUGGGGCGUGGGUGCCCCCCCAUGCCGCCGGACAGUCCGUGAGCAGAACCAAGGUGAUCCCAGACGGGGCCGUGGGCACGUGUGUGCAGGUCGCACCCUGGACCUAGAGGGUCCCAGUGGCUGCUCCCCCCAUGUCAGGGCUGCUCCCCCCCAUACCCUUCCGUCAGGGCUGGUCCCUCCACCCCUGCGCCCCCGCCCGUCCUUGUCACUCCAGCCCCCGCCCCUGUCCAGCCCCGGCGAGCCCCAGCCUGUGGGCAGCGGUGACCGUCUCUGCUGUGACCCGGAUCACGUGGGGUGGGGACCCCACUCCUGACGGCCGGCGAGGAGCCCGUGUGGACUCGGCCUACGUCUCCUCCUCAGGUCCCGGGAGGUCGGGGCCCGGUGUGACCCCCGGAAGGGCCCCGUGUGGCUUCCUGGGGAAGCUGGCCCAGUCGUCCUCCUGAGGCCUCUGCUGGACGCGGUUCUGAGAUGCUUCCUGGGGCGGGGCCCCCCCACCUCAAGGCGCCAUGCCCUGGAGGGCCCCGCAUGGAGGGCCGGCCUCCCCCCCGUGACCCUGGCGCCCGGCAGAGCUGAGCCCGCUGAACCCCGGAAGCAGAUUUUAUUUACUUACUCAUGAGAGACGCAGAGAGAGGCAGAGACCCAGGCGGAGGGAGAAGCCGGCUCCAUGCGGGGAGCCCGACGCGGGACUCGAACCUGGGGUCCUGGAUGGCGACCUGAGCCGAGGGCACACGUGUCACCCCCCCGAGGCCCCGGGCGCCCCAAAUCUCAGCAUCCGCGUCACAGUCUCUCUACAGUAUUUGUACACACACAGGACGAGGGAGCCCUGUGCCAACACACGAACUGUCUGGCUCUGGGCGACCGUGUCCUCGGGCGCCACGUCCGACCUGAUCCCCGAGCCGUGUCUCCCCGUGGCUCCUUCCCGCCUGCUCUCGGGCGCCGCACUCAUCCGUGAUCCGACUGCGUUGCUGCAAAUUCCAUUAGUCCUGGUGCUGAGCUGCAAUACGAAGACUUCAAGAAAUUAAUUUCAAGUUUAUUCCCUUGAUUUGUACUUGAUUUGCUAAAGCAGUUUUCAUUUGAAGAUGCUCUCUUCUCAUUAA
Long non-coding RNA from Canis lupus familiaris (dog), 2861 nucleotides. RefSeq lists it as uncharacterized. The record is from RefSeq and is a predicted model, not a curated record. Lineage: Eukaryota; Metazoa; Chordata; Mammalia; Carnivora; Canidae. The transcript has 3 exons.